GCCAGCAGCCGAGGCAGGGUCAUAGGGGUAUGUUAUUCUAAACCGAAGCACCCAGUGCUCCGGCAGAAAAUAGUCCCUUCGGAAUGUGUAUCUUUCACACUCAAACAAUUGUUGUAUUAGACCAGGUUUAAUGUCUUCGACCGGGAACAAGUGUCUUGACCUAUCGGUUGCGUGAUUUUAUCAGCCACCGUAGCGAUUUUGAACGUGUUGAGAUCCGCUGGACGAGAGAGGCUGCAUGUCAUCAAGUCCCAACAAUAGGCAGCAGAGAAAGAGACGGAGGGUGAAGGAGAGAGAGAAGGUACAGACAGACAGGAGGGGGAGGGUUGGCAUGUUCUGCUCCCGGGGCGGAAGGAGACGUUGCACUCAGGCAGGAGAAUGAAUCGCAGCGCCACCGAGCCUGGAACCUCCGACGUAGUAGAAUGGAACUGAGAAGAACCACAGUUACAUUGUAGCCAGAAACAAACCCCCUCCUGACGUAGUAGAAUGGAACUUAGAAUAAUCACAGUUACAUUGUAGCCAGAAACAGAACCCCCCGAAUAUUGUUCCAAUAUAACAGUUCCGUCUGAGGAAUAGAAACACAGCGAUGCGGAACAGGCGCUGAACAGGAGCGGCCGGGGUGAGAACAAGGCAGAAAGAUGGGCGCCGUGCUACGGACUGUGUUGUUGUGUAGUUUUUCUUUGCUAAUAAGAGGUGUACCCCUCCUGCUCUAUGCCAACCGACGGGACCUGCGGCUGGUGGAUGCGGCUCACGGCAGGGCCAACGCCACGGUGGUGGUGGGCGGUCUGGAGGACGCCGCCGCUGUGGACUAUAUAUACGCUCAGGGAUUGGUCUACUGGAGUGACGUCAGCGAGGAGGCAAUCAAACGCACCACCUUCAACCAAUCAGGGCCCGGCUCGGCGGCGGCCGCCCAGACGGUGGUUGUAUCGGGGCUGGCGUCCCCGGACGGCCUGGCCUGUGACUGGUUAGGCAGGAAGCUGUACUGGACGGACUCCGAGACCAAUCGGAUAGAGGUGGCCGAGCUGGAUGGAUCGUUACGGAGAGUUCUCUUCUGGCAGGACCUGGACCAGCCCCGAGCCAUCUCUCUGGACCCGGGGAGAGGGUACAUGUACUGGACGGACUGGGGCGAGGUUCCUAAGAUUGAGCGAGCAGGGAUGGACGGUACCAACAGAGCCAUGAUCAUUGACAAGGAGAUCUACUGGCCCAACGGUCUCACGCUGGACUACAGCCAGGAGAAACUGUACUGGGCUGACGCCAAGUUCAACUUCAUACAUCGCUCCAAUCUGGACGGCACUGGGAGGGAGGUGGUGGUUAAGGGAGAUCUCCCUCACCCCUUCGCUCUGACGCUGUACGAGGACACUCUCUUCUGGACCGACUGGAACACCCAUUCCAUCCACUCGUGUCAGAAAGAGACCGGGGAGGAUCGGAAGAAAGUCCACUCGGACAUCUUCUCUCCCAUGGAUAUACACGUCUACAGCCAGAAGAGACAGCCGCUACGUCCCACACAGCUUCCUCCUGUCCCCACUGACCAGCCGCCUCCUGGAUACGCCCGUCACCGACAUCAUCCUCCCGACGGUGACAUCCCCACGCCAUCGCCAUCGACUGACCCGGUGGACGGACACAUCUAUUCGGUGACGUCCCACAUCAGUCCUCCUGGUGGCUCUGACACUCAGUUCAUAGUCCCCACUCAGACCUCAGGUCCUCAGCUGGGGUGUCAUCAGGUGAACCAUCCUGACGGCAUCGCUGUGGACUGGAUCGCCCGGAACCUGUACUGGACGGACACGGGAACGGACCGCAUCGAGGUGACACGCCUCAACGGAACCAUGAGGAAAAUCCUGAUAUCAGAGGACCUGGACGAGCCACGAGCCAUCGUACUGGAUCCUGUAGCUGGAUACAUGUACUGGACAGACUGGGGCGAGGUUCCUAAGAUUGAGCGUGCCGACCUGGAUGGGACGGAGAGACUAGUGAUGGUCAACACCUCCCUGGGCUGGCCCAAUGGCCUGGCGCUGGACUACACAGACCGGAUGAUCUACUGGGGCGACGCCAAGACGGACAAGAUAGAGGUGAUGUGUAUGGACGGUUCAGGCAGGAGGAUCCUGGUAGAAGAUAAGCUACCUCACAUCUUUGGCUUCACUCUGCUGGGGGACUAUGUGUACUGGACAGACUGGCAGAGACGCAGCAUCGAGAGGGUUCACAAACACACCAUGGAGAGAGAGUUCAUCAUAGACCAGCUACCAGACCUGAUGGGGCUCAAAGCUACAUAUGUACACCAGACCUUCGGUACCAACCUGUGUGCGGAGGCUAAUGGUGGGUGUAGCCACCUAUGCCUGUAUAAGCCGGUGGGCGUCCAGUGUGCCUGUCCCAUUGGUCUAGAGCUGAUAGCUGACCUGUCCACCUGCAUCGUACCAGAAGCCUUCCUCCUCUUCUCCCGACACACAGACAUCAGACGCAUCUCCUUGGAAACCAACAACAACAACGUGGCCAUCCCGCUGACCGGGGUUAAAGAGGCGUCUGCACUUGACUUUGACAUCACCGACAACCGGAUCUACUGGACAGAUAUCACACUGAAGACAAUCAGUCGUGCGUUUAUGAAUGGCAGCGCUCUGGAACACGUGGUGGAGUUUGGCCUGGACUACCCAGAAGGCAUGGCGGUGGACUGGUUGGGGAAGAAUCUGUACUGGGCCGACACUGGGACCAAUCGUAUUGAGGUGGCCAAGCUGGAUGGACAGCACAGACAGGUCCUAGUCUGGAAGGAUCUGGACAGCCCUCGAGCCCUGGCACUGGACCCUGCUGAGGGGUUUAUGUACUGGACAGAGUGGGGUGGGAAGCCCAAGAUUGACCGCUCAGCGAUGGACGGGACGGGGCGGAUCACUCUGGUGCCCAACGUGGGCCGAGCCAACGGGCUGACCAUCGACUAUGCCGAGAGGCGACUGUACUGGACUGACCUGGACACGACACUCAUAGAGUCCUCCAACAUGCUGGGUCUGGAGCGUGAGGUUAUAGCCGACGACCUCCCCCACCCCUUUGGUUUGACCCAGUACCAGGAUUACAUCUAUUGGACGGACUGGUCUCAGCGCAGCAUCGAACGGGCCAAUAAGACAUCGGGCCAGAACCGUACGGUCAUCCAGGGUCACCUAGACUACGUGAUGGACAUCUUGGUCUUCCACUCGUCACGCCAGGGGGGCUGGAACGCCUGCGCCUCCACCAAUGGGCAAUGCUCACACCUCUGUCUGGCUGUACCAAUCAGCAGCUUCGUCUGCGGAUGUCCCGCCCACUUCUCCCUCAACAAUGACAACAAGACCUGCAGUGCCCCUACGUCGUUCAAGUCAGCCAUUAACCGGAUGGUGAUGGAUGAGCACCAGUCUCCUGACAUCAUCCUUCCCAUCCACAGUCUGAGGAACGUCAGGGCUAUAGACUACUGACCCCCUGGAAAAACAACUGUACUGGAUCGACUCCAAACAGAACGCAAUGAACGGGAACAUUAGGUCCACUGAUCCAGACCCUUUUAUGACGGUGGUGUGGAGCCAAGUGGGCGGUCCUAACCUGGGCCUCCAGCCGUUUGACCUGAGCAUCGACAUCUACAGCCGCUUCAUCUACUGGACCAGCGAGGUCACUAAUGUCAUUAACGUGACGAGGACAGACGGCAGCCGGGUGGGAGUGGUGCUGAGAGGAGAACACGACAGACCCAGAGCCAUCGUGGUCAACCCAGAGCGAGGGUACAUGUACUUUACCAACCUGCAGGAGCGCAGUCCUAAGAUAGAACGAGCAGCGCUCGACGGGACAGAGAGAGAGGUGUUGUUCUUCAGUGGCCUGGGGAAGCCCGUUGCCCUGGCCAUAGACAAUGAGGUCGGCAAGCUGUUCUGGGUCGACUCAGACCUCCGGCGCAUCGAGAGCAGUGACCUAUCAGGAGCCAAUCGGAUUGUGAUUGAGGACUCCAACAUCCUCCAGCCGGUUGGUCUGACGGUGUUUGGUAACCACCUGUACUGGAUCGACCGUCAGCAGCAGAUGAUCGAACGCAUCGACAAGACGACCAGGGAGGGAAGGACCAAGAUCCAGGCUCGCAUUGCCUCUCUCAGCGACAUUCACGCUGUCUACGACCUCGACAUGAGCGAGUACAGUAAGCACCCUUGUACCUGGGACAACGGAGGCUGUUCUCACAUCUGUAUCGUCAAGGGAGACAGGAACCACACGCUGCUCCUGUCCUGUUCAUCUGGUCCUGCUGCAGAAUGAACUCUCCUGUGGAGAACCCCCCACCUGUUCUCCAGAACAGUUCUCCUGUGUAUCCGGGAGGUGGACUGUAUUCCCCCACAGCGUGGCGGUGUGACGGCUACCCAGAGUGUGACGACAGCAGCGACGAGGGAGACUGUCCUGUCUGUUCAGAUUCAGAGUUUCAGUGUGACUCCAGACAGUGUGUUGACCUCAGCUCCGCUGCAACGGAGAGGUCAGCUGUCAGGAUCACUCAGACGAGAACAAAUGUGAAGUGCGCUGCUCUCCGGACCACUUCAGCUGUUCCAGCGGUCAGUGUGUGGGGAAACAUCAAGUGUGACCACUCUACAGACUGCUCUGACAACUCGGACGAGAUGGGCUGCUGUAAACCGACUGAAGAGCCGUCCUCCCAGCCCACCAACACCAUCGGCUCCAUUGUGGGGUUGUCAUGGCGCUGUUUGUGGUGGGUGCCAUCUACUUGGUGUGCCAGCGUGCUCUGUCCCCAGAUGAAGGAUGA
RNA transcript from Oncorhynchus gorbuscha (pink salmon), 4720 nucleotides. It is a transcript of the gene named low-density lipoprotein receptor-related protein 6-like, with no coding region annotated. The transcript has 21 exons. The record is from RefSeq and is a predicted model, not a curated record. NCBI's taxonomy places the organism in Eukaryota, Metazoa, Chordata, Actinopteri, Salmoniformes, Salmonidae.